Molecule: ribosomal RNA, 481 nt
Filed under: uncultured Pelotomaculum sp.
Lineage: Bacteria; Bacillati; Bacillota; Clostridia; Eubacteriales; Desulfotomaculaceae
Description: bacterial SSU rRNA
Rfam family: Bacterial small subunit ribosomal RNA
Source: RNAcentral
UUAAAGGAAUUGACGGGGCCCGCACAAGCGGUGAGCAUGUGGUUUAAUUCGACGCAACGCGAAGAACCUUACCAGGGCUUGACAUCCCCUGACCGCGUAUGAAAGUACGUUUUCACCCUCGGGUGACAGGGAGACAGGUGGUGCAUGGUUGUCGUCAGCUCGUGUCGUGAGAUGUUGGGUUAAGUCCCGCAACGAGCGCAACCCCUACGUUUAGUUGCUAACAGGUGAAGCUGAGCACUCUAGACGAACUGCCGUUGACAAAACGGAGGAAGGUGGGAUGACGUCAAAUCAUCAUGCCCCUUAUGUUCUGGGCUACACACGUGCUACAAUGGCCGGUACAGACGGAGGCGAAGCCGCGAGGCGGAGCAAAUCCGAAAAAGCCGGUCUCAGUUCGGAUUGCAGGCUGCAAUUCGCCUGCAUGAAGUCGGAAUCGCUAGUAAUCGCAGGUCAGCAUACUGCGGUGAAUACGUUCCCGGGCCUU